UGAGCAAUCUGCCCUUCUCAUCGGAAUAAGCGUUGGAAACGACGUCUAAUGCCGAAUACGACCUCCUUUCGCAUGAUCGGAGGUGGAAAGCUCCGGCGGAGAAGGAUGAGCUCGCGGCCUAUCAGCUAGUUGGUGUGGGUAACGGCCCACCAAGGCGACGACGGGUAGCCGGCCUGAGAGGGUGACCGGCCACACUGGGACUGAGACACGGCCCAGACUCCUACGGGAGGCAG
Molecule: ribosomal RNA, 233 nt
Filed under: uncultured bacterium
Lineage: Bacteria
Description: partial 16S ribosomal RNA
Rfam family: Bacterial small subunit ribosomal RNA
Source: RNAcentral